UGAGGAAUAUUGGUCAAUGGGCGCAAGCCUGAACCAGCCAUCCCGCGUGCAGGAAGACGGCCCUAUGGGUUGUAAACUGCUUUUCCAGGGGGAGAAACUUGCGCACGUGUUGCGCAAUUGACGGUACCCUGGGAAUAAGCAUCGGCUAACUCCGUGCCAGCAGCCGCGGUGAUACGGAGGAUGCGAGCGUUAUCCGGAUUCAUUGGGUUUAAAGGGUGCGUAGGCGGACUAUUAAGUCAGUGGUGAAAUCCUGCAGCUUAACUGCAGAACUGCCGUUGAUACUGAUAGCCUUGAGUUUGGUUAAGGUAGGCGGAAUGUGUAAUGUAGCGGUGAAAUGCUUAGAUAUUACGCAGAACACCAAUUGCGUAGGCAGCUUACUGAGCCGACACUGACGCUGAGGCACGAAAGCGUGGGGAUCGAGCAG
This 424-nucleotide ribosomal RNA is filed under the name uncultured bacterium. Its description in RNAcentral is "bacterial SSU rRNA". It matches the Rfam family "Bacterial small subunit ribosomal RNA", at positions 355 to 775 of the family's 1533-position model. The record is from RNAcentral.